RNAcentral lists this ribosomal RNA (527 nucleotides) under Agrobacterium sp. CSeA15_20. RNAcentral describes it as "bacterial SSU rRNA". It matches the Rfam family "Bacterial small subunit ribosomal RNA", at positions 57 to 632 of the family's 1533-position model. The record is from RNAcentral. Lineage: Bacteria; Pseudomonadati; Pseudomonadota; Alphaproteobacteria; Hyphomicrobiales; Rhizobiaceae.
GCAGUCGAGCGCCCCGCAAGGGGAGCGGCAGACGGGUGAGUAACGCGUGGGAAUCUACCGUGCCCUACGGAAUAGCUCCGGGAAACUGGAAUUAAUACCGUAUACGCCCUACGGGGGAAAAGAUUUAUCGGGGUAUGAUGAGCCCGCGUUGGAUUAGCUAGUUGGUGGGGUAAAGGCCUACCAAGGCGACGAUCCAUAGCUGGUCUGAGAGGAUGAUCAGCCACAUUGGGACUGAGACACGGCCCAAACUCCUACGGGAGGCAGCAGUGGGGAAUAUUGGACAAUGGGCGCAAGCCUGAUCCAGCCAUGCCGCGUGAGUGAUGAAGGUCUUAGGAUUGUAAAGCUCUUUCACCGAUGAAGAUAAUGACGGUAGUCGGAGAAGAAGCCCCGGCUAACUUCGUGCCAGCAGCCGCGGUAAUACGAAGGGGGCUAGCGUUGUUCGGAAUUACUGGGCGUAGAGCGCAUGUAGGCGGAUAUUUAAGUCAGGUGUGAGAUCCCGCAGCUCAACUGCGGAACUGCCUUUGAUA